GAUGAACGCUGGCGGCGUGCCUAAUACAUGCAAGUCGAGCGAACGGACGAGAAGCUUGCUUUUCUGAUGUUAGCGGCGGACGGGUGAGUAACACGUGGAUAACCUACCUAUAAGACUGGGAUAACUUCGGGAAACCGGAGCUAAUACCGGAUAAUAUUUUGAACCGCAUGGUUCAAAAGUGAAAGACGGUCUUGCUGUCACUUAUAGAUGGAUCCGCGCUGCAUUAGCUAGUUGGUAAGGUAACGGCUUACCAAGGCAACGAUGCAUAGCCGACCUGAGAGGGUGAUCGGCCACACUGGAACUGAGACACGGUCCAGACUCCUACGGGAGGCAGCAGUAGGGAAUCUUCCGCAAUGGGCGAAAGCCUGACGGAGCAACGCCGCGUGAGUGAUGAAGGUCUUCGGAUCGUAAAACUCUGUUAUUAGGGAAGAACAUAUGUGUAAGUAACUGUGCACAUCUGGACGGUACCUAAUCAGAAAACCACGGCUAACUACGU
This 496-nucleotide ribosomal RNA is filed under the name uncultured bacterium. RNAcentral's name for it is "partial 16S ribosomal RNA". It matches the Rfam family "Bacterial small subunit ribosomal RNA", at positions 28 to 506 of the family's 1533-position model. The record is from RNAcentral.